This is a long non-coding RNA of Mus musculus (house mouse), 1078 nucleotides long. RefSeq annotates it as RIKEN cDNA E030025P04 gene. The record is from RefSeq and is marked validated. The transcript is spliced from 3 exons. NCBI's taxonomy places the organism in Eukaryota, Metazoa, Chordata, Mammalia, Rodentia, Muridae.
UUUGCUGCCCACAGAUCAGCAAACACACACUGGUGUGAUGUGGUUGCCAAGAUGAGAAGGAAUUUUCAGCUUCACCAGGGGGAACAGAUCCCAUUCUGCUGGGGCCAGUGGCAGCUGGAGCUUUGCCCUUGGUUCUGGGAACGCUCUGAGAUGGAUGACUGCGAGAUUUGCAGCAAGGAGGGCAAAGGGAUUGAGCACUACUCAAAAGGAGAGUGAGUAGCUAAAGAUGUUAGGGCUUCCUCCUCCCUUAGAGAACAGAAGUCUUGGCGUGUAACUCCUGGGCUCUGACAUCUGGGGAGUUUCGAAUGGAUGUCUCAGACAACACCAAAGAAGAAGAAAAAAACAUACCAAGAACCAGAGUUUAGUCAACCCUUCAGAUACUGCGUAAGCAUGUCUCAGAUUUGGGGGAAGGACUGUCCCCACCUCACCCCUGGGAGCAGCAGGAGGUGGGUCAACUUCAGCCAAGACCAGGAUGGAAGGGAUCCGACUGUUAGACGCGUGGCCGUCAGAGACACAGAGGACACAGCUAAUAGGAUGCAGAAAAGGCCCAGAGAGAAGCAUAUGGCUGACUGCCCCAGCUCCAGGAGGGACCCUGCUCAGGGAGGCAGGAAGAACAAAGGAGCACUCGUGCCCCUGAUCCCUGUGAUCCUCCACAGUCACAGAAGAAGGCCUAACAGGGAGCAGGGACCUGGCGAGGCUCCCACCGGCAUGUGGCCCAGGGGCCACCAUCUGGAAUGGAAGCCUGACACACAGCCCUGGGAGUGCCCUUACCUGACACCAGCCAUGGAAGUACCCUUUCUUCAGCUCUGCUACGUGACUGGCUCUCCGUGGAGUGUGUUGACAUCUCUGUCAUUCAGAGACGAAUAGUCUGUGUUAGACUUUGGUGUUUUGAAAUAAGUAUAGAAGAUUAUAUUGUACUAAACAUAGCCCAAAGUGCACUGUCUUAUCCAUGAGUAGCUAUGUAAUGACUAACUGUAUUCACACUGUUGGGCAAGGUAACAACUUUUGUAGGCCAUCUCAUUCCUACCUUCCAUACUGAUGUGCUGUCCCCAUCAAACACAGACUUCUCACUUCCCAC